UUUAGCUGCAUGUUGCUCACCUUCAACAAUCAUUAUCCCAAACACCUGUGCACCUUUUGAGGGGCAGUUUCUAAGUAGAUUUUGCUGCCUGUUGGUAGUGGGAUUAUCUUGGAUCCUUUCCCUUCUUUCACACAUACACUAUUUUCAAUAUUGAACGUGAUUGUGCCGUAAGGCCUUAAUAAAAAUACAACUUUUAACAACGGAUCUCUUGGCUCUCGCAUCGAUGAAGAACGCAGCGAAAUGCGAUAAGUAAUGUGAAUUGCAGAAUUCAGUGAAUCAUCGAAUCUUUGAACGCACCUUGCGCUCCUUGGUAUUCCGAGGAGCACGCCUGUUCGAGUGUCGUGAAGUUCUCAAGCUAGGUGCUUUUUUGCUUGACGAAAAUGCGGUUAGCUUGGUAUUGGGCUUUGCCGUGUCCCUUCAUUUGGAACGGCUGGUCUUAAAGACAUUAGCUUUGACCCUUCACGUGGUAUUGGUUCUACUCAGCGUGAUAAUAAUCUAACCGCUGAGGACAUCUUUUGGGGUGGCCAAUUCUUGUUGGGGUUGCUUUCUAAUCUGGUUUGCAGGAUUCUUGAAUCCUGCUCCAUUUUUCAAUUUUUGACCUCGAAUCAGGUGGGACUACCCGCUGAACUUAAGCAUAUCAA
RNAcentral lists this ribosomal RNA (641 nucleotides) under uncultured Cantharellales. Its description in RNAcentral is "eukaryotic LSU rRNA". The stretch from base 189 to 342 matches the Rfam family "5.8S ribosomal RNA". The record is from RNAcentral. Lineage: Eukaryota; Fungi; Basidiomycota; Agaricomycetes; Cantharellales.